Molecule: ribosomal RNA, 292 nt
Filed under: uncultured bacterium
Lineage: Bacteria
Description: partial 16S ribosomal RNA
Rfam family: Bacterial small subunit ribosomal RNA
Source: RNAcentral
GUGUCAGCAGCCGCGGUAAUACGUAGGGGGCUAGCGUUGUCCGGAAUCAUUGGGCGUAAAGAGCGCGUAGGCGGCUGGAUUAGUCCGGUGUGAAAUCCACAGGCUUAACCUGUGAAUGCCGCUGGAAACUGUCUGGCUAGAGUCCGGAAGGGGCGAGUGGAAUUCCUGGUGUAGCGGUGAAAUGCGCAGAUAUCAGGAGGAACACCAAUGGCGAAGGCAGCUCGCUGGGACGGUACUGACGCUGAGGCGCGAAAGCGUGGGGAGCGAACAGGAUUAGAUACCCCCGUAGUCC